CACCGAGUGAGGGAACGUGGGCUCCCCAAGAUGGCUGCCGCGCCUGGGUAGCUUGCCUCACCCGCCACCAACCCCACAACACGGGAGCGCGCGCUCUAGGUAUAUAACUCUGUGCCUACACCCUUUGUAUGUUGGUAAAUGUGAUAAAUGAGACAACCUACACCCCUUGUAUGACAAGCAAUCGACAAUAGACAUGGUACUGUGCCGAAGUUCAUCCAACCCUGUGUGUAUGUAAACAAAGCGGACGGACUAAAUCAAGGGGACGAGACUCGAUACCACACUGGCACACUAACCACUCAGCCACCUCCUCCCCAUGUUUUAUUGCCAAUCAGCUACAAAUUGGCUAAAUAUUGUGGGCUUCCAGCUGCCUUUUCCAGCUAUAGGCUAAAAAGCAAUAUUUUCUGGCUAGAUUCAACUAAAUUCGUCUAAAAUCUAGCCGGUACAUAGUUAAUCUGGUAACACUGCUCCCGCAUCAUGCCAAUACUCCCGGCUUAUCGCCCCACAAUGUUGCCAGCUUGUGUGUUCAUAGCUCGAGACACCGUUCGUCAUCCGAGACGUUUUUUGUUCGGAAAAAUUAGUUCGUAAACUGAUUUGUUCGUGAUGAGAGGCGUUUGUGAACCAAGAUUCCACUGAUGUCUGUUAACCCGAGAAUGUCAACAGACCCUUUUUAGGGCUUUCAUGAGUUCUGGCUGUGGUACAGUGAACCCUAAAAAGGGCUCGCCAUAAAACACCUAAUUUGAGCUAAUUGUAGGCAGUGGUGGCAUAGUGCAACCCACCAUGAAUGCCCAAGGUCAUUGUGGUGGGUGAGUGAUCUUGAGGUGGGCUUUUUUUGUCAUAGAUGGUGCUGUAAGGUCAUGGCAUACUCAAUUAGCUAUCCAUACAGUACUCACUUGUCAAAUUCUCUAUAGUAGACAACAAGCGACUUGGCUAGAUGCCACGCGUCAUAAGACUGUUUAUUUUGUGGCAAACACCACCCAAAAAGUAUGGAGUUUCAGUAAAAGUAAAUAUUUUUAACGGCUUUAUGGUUAUGAGAGGAGUACUCUGAUGUAUGUUUCAUGCUCUUUGUCUCAAAAUGCAGUGUAAUUUUGUCGUUUCUCGGCCACUUCUCGGCUUUCCCAUUGCCGAAGCCCAAGGGUUAAUGAGCAAUUAUAGCUCUGCAGACUAAGCCAUUGUGAUAAAUGUAAAUAAAAUUAUAUUGUAACAAAUUCUGUAUUAUACUGAGGGCAAUAAAUCACAUCAAAUCUAUCAAAUUAACAAGAAUCUAGUUGGAAACUUAGAAUUCUUCAGCAUCAAUGAAAUAAUAACAAUAAUCAUCAUCAGGUUGAACUACUGACAAAUUUAGAAUACUUGAGGCCUAUGCACCAACGUCAACAUGACAAACUGAUCUCAGGAGAACAUCAGGAAUAAAUCAACAGUUAACUGAUAACUUACACUAAUGUGUAUUGAAUAUUAUCAAAGAAACUGAAACACUUAAGACUACCUUAAAUGAAACAGGAAAAGCAGAAAGUUGCACGUCUCACUGAAUGAGACACUAAAAUAACAGGCUGCUAGUAACACACCCAAAAAUCGCGAAAAUUGAUGAUUUUUUGCAAGUUGAGAUUAUUACUGGAAAAUGAUCACCCAUCAUUCGGCAACACUGUGUGUAAGUUUCAUGGCUCUAUGUCUACUUUAAGUUCACUUUUUUGCUUUUUAUGUAUACCUAUGUCUAAAGCACUAAAAAAACUCACCCAUGGAUGUAUAACAUUCAAAGUUUCCAUAUGUUUUCAUUUAUUUUUUCAUGUAAAUCAACAUUCUAUAUCUGGCAACCCUUGGGGAGAGGUAGAAGCAUGUUGGGAUGAGGCGAGUGUGUGAGUCAGUGGCGUCCCGCCUUCUGUCCCGAGGGGAGGUGGUGGCGCGUGGUCAGCUGACUUUGACAUCUCAAGUUACCAGUGUUGCCAUCAUUUCCUCCACAACUUCUACAUUUACAAGAUGGGUGGAGUAAAGAAGAAGGUUUUGAUGAAGAAGAAAUACCUUGAAAAGGCAAGAAAAGUCUUACAAGAAAAGAGAAGCAUGGCAUCCCAUCAAACAGAGGAAGAAACGGCCACCUCAGCUGCUGGCCCAGCGACAAGUUCUACACCACCCACGCAGGAGCGCACCAGAUCACCUGUCAAGUCUUCAAGCGCACAGAAGAGACAGAAGAUAAUGGCCUUGGGUGCAGAGUAAGAAGCAUGUGAUGAAGAAUAUAUGUUAGCAAAGAAGAGCUGGUGGACAGAACUUGCAAGGAAUGUCAGCUGUCCUCAGUGUUACAAGUGCUUGACAUGCAAAUUUACAACGCAUCAAGUCGAUGACGGUGUAGUGGUGCAGUGUAAGAAGUGUAGUUAUGUGGCUUUGAAUACAAGUAAGGAGAGUAAAAGUGCAAAGAAAGGUAUUUUCGUUGUGACAUCAAUGAUUGUGUAUGCAGUGAUGCUGCUUGGAUGGAGAUAUAGUGGUCAUCAUCAUCAUCAUUUCAUUGACGCCUGCUCCUAGGAGCUCCCACCAGGGGAUGGCCACGGCAGAAGAGCUUCCAACUUUCUCUAUCCAGACACUCCCUCCUUGCCUGCUCAAAGUUUCUCAAAGAUCUUUCCCCCCCCUCUCCUUAACGUACUUUUGCGCCCUAUCCCUCCAUUUCACUGGAGGUCGUCCUCUAGCAUUCCCUCCCUCUAUCUCACUCUCCUCCAUUCGCUCAAUGUGGCCAAACCACUUUAAGGUCUGUCGCUUCACUUCUUCCACCACUCCACACUUCUUCCCUUCACCCCUGUGACACAUUCCAAAAUGCUCAUACACACUUUCAUUACUCAUUCCAUCCAUUCUACUCACACCACAAGCACUCCUCAAAUAACUCAUUUCCACUGCCUGCACUCUAGACCUCUGACUUUCAUUCCAGGCCCACGUUUCACUUGCAUAUGUGAGGGUUGGUACUAUUAUUGUAUUUCUCAAAUCCCUCUUUACUUCCAUGCUCACACUUCUGUCAUUCAUGAUUCGUCCCAAAGACCCUACCACCCUCCUUCCUUGCAAUGCCCUUUCUCUUGUCUCUCCCUCCAUACCACCAUGCUUACACAUAACUGAUCCAAGGUACUUAAACUCAUUGACCUCCUCCAUUUCUUCACCAUUCAAAAUUAUUUUGCAUUCUUUUUCACAUUCAAUUCCCACUCUAUAUGGGCAUACAAAAUCUACAACCUCACUUCUACAUCGCUCACAAACCAUCACUUUACUUUUGUUAACAUUUACUUUCAGCUUUCUCCUAGUGGUUUUGAGAAAUUAUGUGGCAUGUUGAGUCUCCGCCACAUAACGCAAACUGUAUACUUUGGAUACACACAACUUCUGUGUUCCCAGGCAUGCCACAAUGUUUCUAAACUCCUAAAACAAAGUAGAAAAGCAGUUUUUACCCACUACAAGGAUGUGCUAAUGAAAACACCUGACGAUAAUGGAAUUCUGGACGUUUCUGUCUCGUACGAUGGCACAUGGCAUAAAAGAGGGUUUAUGUCGCAGUUUGGUGUUGGAGCGGUGAUUGAAUUGGAAACUGGAUUGAUUGUUGACUUUGAAGUGAUGAGCAAGUAUUGCAGCAAGUGUGCAAUCCAGAAUAACAAGAAGAAGCUAUCUCAAGUCAAGAACAUGAUGCAUGGAAGAAGAAACAUUCACCUGACUGCCACAUCAACCACGAAGGGUCUUCAGGUUUGAUGGAGGUUGUGGCUGCAACUCGUCUUUUUGAGAGAUCACUAUCUUACAAUAUGAGAUACAUGAGUCUUGCAUCUGAUGGUGACAGUGCCACUUACAAAGCCAUCACUGACCUAAAUGAGGGGGCAGGUCCUUACAGUGAGAAGCAUCAAGUAAAGAAAGAGGAAUGCGUGAACCACGUUGCUAAGAGACUUGGCACUUCUCUAAGAAAACUGAAGGAAACUACUGUUGUGCAAGAGGAGGGAAAGAAGAGAAGGAAACUGAGUUUGGGAGGACGAUCAAAGCUCACCAACACUAUCAUCACCAGACUAUCGUAUUAUUUUGGCAUCAAUGUGAGAUGUCAGGCGAAUACCAAUCCUGCACAGAUGCGUGAUGAUAUAUUGUCUUCUCUAUAUCAUUGCACAUCUACAGAAGAAGAGCCAAAACAUCAUCUCUGCCCAAAAUCAGAAGACUCAUGGUGCUUCUAUCAAAAGGCAAAGGCAAAAGGACAGUCACCACCAAGUCACUCAACCAUGAAAAUUCAUUUCACGCUUGAACCUCAUCUGUUUGAGCUAAUGAAGGGAGUGUAUGACAGGCUCACAACCAAUGAAAUGAUGAUGAGAUGCAUCAGAGGCAAAACCCAAAAUCCCAACGAAUCCCUUCAUCAGAGAAUUUGGAUGCUGUGCCCAAAGAGUAAACGUGCAACCAAACCUAUGGUGGACUUUGCUGUGGCACAGGCAGUAUCAAAUUACAAUGCCGGGUAUGUGGAAAGCAAUGUAUACACAGAGACCUUGGGAUACCUCUAACAGAAGGGACUAUGAAGUACCUGCAAAGAGCUGAUAACCAAAUGAAGAAACCAAUCAAAAGGAAGAUUCGCAACAAACGUCACUGAGUGCGCGCCGCUGAAUGUCGUCAAACUUCAGACACCGUUUUCUCAAAACACAGAUAACUGGCAGUAAAUCUUCAGAAUGACCUCUUUUAACAGUACAUACUUGCAAUCUUUCAAUAAAGUAAAAUCACUUGGCUACAAUGCAUAUUAAUGGUUUACCUCCAAUUUUGCAGAGGUAACCCCUUAACCCCUUCAUUACCAACACUCCCCCUCAUCACUGCACUAACCCCUUCCCGCCGAACCGACUUUCACUACCCGCCCCAUUUGAAAAUAAGGGGGUUUAUAAUUCAUGAUUACAUCAUUACUUUUCGGUAUAUAUUACGGUUUUGUAUUUCACAAAAUGCAUAUUGGCCAGAAGAUGAGACUGAUAUGAAAUAACAACAUUUGAAGCCAUUUUGUUUACAUAAUCAAAUACUUUAUUUAAUGUUCAUUAUACGUGUAAAGGUAAUAGUAAGAAAAGAAACCUAAACAUUUUACAAUAAAAAAAAAGUUUUAUUUAUUUGUGCGGUGUAAAUCCAUGGGAGGUACAUUCUGAGGCAGGUGCACCAGUGCACACUAGGGUACUACUGGGUGUGCUAGGCCUGGAAGUGUUCCUCAAAACACAAACCAGGUGCACCAGGGCAUGAGGGUAAAUAUUUCCUCGACCACUUCACUUUGCCCUCGCUGUGACUUACUGCACCGUUUUUGCAGUCUCUUCCUGGUCUCAGUAGCAAGUACUGAUACCAGUCUGUGCACAUCAUCCUGCCAAGCUUUCUUCCUGCAUACCUCUAUACUUGCUGUCUUCCUGGGUGGCAGCACUGACAUUCAAGGACACAUGGCUAAAGUGCCAGCAGCAAUAAUUUUCUACAAAUUAUAUUUUAUAUGAUAUAGAUGAAAGCAUGUAUAUAGAAAAAUAAUAUACGAGUUAUAAUAGCCAUAUGAAACGAAUAUAAGUAUUUAGAAUAUAUUCAUGCCUUCGUACAGUGAAUUAAGGGUGGCACGACGCCACUGCACGGAUAACAUAAGCUACAAUAUGAGUGCUCACCAAUACAUACUGAACCAACUUUCAGAAAGGCUCCAUACACCCUAUUAUAAUCAUGUACGCAUUUACAAUAUCGGUUCCACAGCAGACAUUGUCAUGUUGUAUGCAAGUACAACAUUUCAGAUCCGGCAACAAAGGGGUUAAAUCAUGCUUGUUAUUCUACUAUUCUUAAAGUAAACAGUGCAUGCACCAUGGAAAGUUAAUAUUUAGCAAAGGAGAGUGAACUCAGUAAGGGUAAGCCAAUAACCUUCAAGGCAAAAGCUUGAAAUGUUGAUGUGUUUCAAGUGGGGUGACAAAAGGCAUCAUAAAUAAAUAUUUAAGCCAGCUUUGUGGGAGCACAUUAUGCCCCAUACAUGAUAAUGCUGACAGAUAAAAAGGUUUGCCUUUGUAAUAGUUUAUUUCUGUUUCAUUAACUUUUAAAUUUGCUGCUACUGGCAGCAAAGUGUGCGUGCCACAUGUCAUGGUGAAAUAGCAGCACCGUGUCACUAAAACAGUGGAGACUAAUCUAUGUUAACCCUUUCCAUCCAUGACGCAGACGUCGGCGUCACAGUAUGGAAAGGGUCAAGAGGAAAUGGAAGAGGAUUAAUCCUCUUCUAAACCUCUCAACCCUCCUCUAAAUUCCUCUUAAUCCUUUUCCAUUUCCUUUUAACCCUUUCUAAACAGCGACGCCGAUGUCGGCGUCCUGAAGUGCCCAGUGCAAUAUACGGCGACGGCGACGGCGGCGUCCUGAAGCGCCCAGUGCAAUAUACGGCGACGGCGACAUCGGCGUCCUAACAGUGACACCUAUGUUGGCGCCGCGUCUUUAUUACAUUUAGUUUUAGUUGGUGCUGAGUGAUCCCGUAUUCUGUUCUGACUCUACCUAGAGACUCUGUAUAUGAUACAGGUAACUCUCGAUUUACGCGAGUAUUGUGUCCUGGAAGGUCACGUAAAUCAAAAACAUUGAAAAUCAAACAAGAGGAAGGUAUCUAUCAAAAAAUAAAUAUUCACUUCAUUCAGUGGAGAGAGAGAGAGAGAGAGAGAGAGAGAGAGAGAGAGAGAGAGAGAGAGAGAGAGAGAGAGA
Long non-coding RNA from Eriocheir sinensis (Chinese mitten crab), 6642 nucleotides. RefSeq lists it as uncharacterized. The record is from RefSeq and is a predicted model, not a curated record. The transcript has 2 exons. NCBI's taxonomy places the organism in Eukaryota, Metazoa, Arthropoda, Malacostraca, Decapoda, Varunidae.